RNAcentral lists this long non-coding RNA (512 nucleotides) under Sus scrofa (pig). RNAcentral's name for it is "lncRNA (ENSSSCG00060007169.1)". Lineage: Eukaryota; Metazoa; Chordata; Mammalia; Artiodactyla; Suidae. The record is from RNAcentral.
GACGGUUGCGAUGAGGCUGCUCCUGGGUCUCGCGGCUAUCCAAGACCAUCGAGGGUCCCCGGCGGCGCCUGCCGUCUGCUGAGGCUGGGUUAAGGCUUCUGGCAGAUUCGGGUCAGUCCCAAGUGCGACCGGUCUUCUGGGGCUGCCGUCCGCAGACCCUUCUCGCAUCCACGUACCUGGCGGCCUCCCUCAUCGCGUGCUGUUGGUAGGGGGGCGAGUCAGGCCCUGUACACGUCCUGACAGGCACCCGGCCCACCCCCAGCCAACUGUGCGCUGUGUUCCUGCCCCAGCACGAGACCUGUGGGGUGUCCGCGGCAGAAGAUGUCAGAGCUGGAAGAGACCUGAGAGGCGAUCCCCUUGGUGGGUGAUGGUUCUUCCGGGAAUCUGGUGGUUUGCGCGCCUUGUCGUCUGCUUCCAGAACAAGGAUCUUCGCUGUACGCCAAGACCCAGACCCCUCUGACAUCGGAAUGACAAGUGGGAUAUUUAAUAAAACAGUUUCAAAUUUGGAGUCA